Molecule: long non-coding RNA, 3010 nt
Filed under: Equus caballus (horse)
Lineage: Eukaryota; Metazoa; Chordata; Mammalia; Perissodactyla; Equidae
Description: lncRNA (ENSECAG00000058996.1)
Source: RNAcentral
GGGCGGUAUAGUUUACAUAGGCUUCGGAGUCAGAUCCACUUGGGUCAGAAUCCUACCUUUUUUAUUCCCGUUAAGUAUGCGAUCUCCAGUAACGGGCAGAAGAGGAAGAGAAAAGAGUGGGUCCAACUGGAGAAUAAAAGCCCCGAGCCCAAUGCCGAUUGGACCACCUCCUACCAAUGCCUGCGGCCAAGGCAAUGCCAAGUGCUGAUUGGCUCAGGUCUGAGCUACCUGAACCAAUCACGGUGGAAAGCGGGGAGGGAGCAUCCUUACUGGCUUAGGCAGGAGGAGGAAGCUGCGGCGAGGCAACCAAGCUGUCAGCGUGCUGCGGCCUGGAGUGGCAGCAACCCGAUGGCCGCCUCUUGUGGGCAGGGCCGUGCCACGUCCCGUCCGGGCCAGGGGUUCCUUAGGACUGGAGGGAGUAGCCGUGGGGUCAUCUUGGCUUCCUCACUGGGCGCGGCAUGGGGCUCUGCCCUCCACCUGUGCCUUGACCCGUGUCCUCUGCGCCACCCGCCCCCCACCCCUACCCACACCCCCAGCCUGCAUCCCCAAGCCCGAGUCACACCAUGUUCCCAGCCUACACCUUUCUCCUGGGCUUGGGGAACAGCCCUAACGCUACAGUUUGGAGGCCAGAUGGUUUUUUGUUUUCUCCUUGGCAAAAGAUGAAUUCUCUCUUCUGAGAAAAUAAAAGGACUUAUUUUAAAAAAAUAAAAAAGAAGAAGAAGAAAGAAAGGGGGGAAAAACUCAUAAAAAUAAAAGCCCAAAUCCCAACUCCAGUAGGAAAUUUAGCUUAAAUAGCUCUUAACAAACUGGACUUGGAACAGUUCUACAAGAGGCGACCAGACGCAUCAGAAUUAAGUUUCUCGUAAAGGCAGAGCCGCAGGGAGAAUGGAAGCAGAGAUGUUCUCAAGGGAAAAGAUCUCUCCAGGCUUCUGGGGCAGAGAGUUUAGUUAUUGUCAGUACCCGUGGCUUAUUGAGAGCUUGCUGUGUGCUAAGUGCAUUACCUAUUAUCUCUCAUCCUCCCAAAGGCCUCUUUGUACAGAAGAGGAAACUGAGGCACAGGGAGGUGAGGUGGCUUGCCCCAGGUCAUGCUGUUGCCAAAAUGUGGGGCUGGCCCUCAAGCCUGUGUUUCUUUCUCCAAAGCUUCCUAACCACUGCCCUUCACUGCCCUCUUCAGGUCUGGGAUUUGAGAAAGUUUGCAGAGUGAGAUUUCCGGGGUGAGUUGGGGCGUGAGGCGGACGGAGCCCCUCUGGGUUUCCAGGUUCUGUUGGGCUGGGUUUGGUCCACGGAGGACUAUUUUGAGCUGGCUGGAGAAGGGGUAUUUGUCGUUUUGAUUUUCUGCUCUCUAGUUUCUUCCUUGAAGUGAGUUGGUUCCAGCAAGGCUGCAUCUUCUUGGGGUUUUCUAGAUGAGAGGGAAGCAGAGUACAAUUAACCCUUCCAGUGGGCAAGCUCCCUGGACUCGGGGAGGAAGGAAAGUUCCUUCUCCUGCUAACUUUGCGGGGAGAGGCAGAUGGGACAGAGUCAAGAUCAUUUCAUUUCACCCAGCGAUAAGCGCUCAAAAGACAGGAAAGCAGAAUCAGGUUGGAGGGAGGGACCACUUCGAGGGGGAUCAGGGAGGGCCUUUCUGAGGAGGCUCCUCUGAAGCGUAGCCCUGAAUGAUGGGAGAGAAACAGCUGUGGGAGAACCUGGGGCAAGGCGGUUGCAGGCAGAGGGAACAGCAGGUGUUAAGAUUUGAGGAUGAGCAAGAGCCAGCCAGCAAAAGAGGGGAGGGAGGCGGGAGAGAGGAGGGGAGGCAUCUGGAAGAAGGAACUGUAUUCCUGCCUGGAAUGUUGCUGAGCCUGUGCAAGCUUCCGCCACUGUCAGCUAUGACUUCGUCUGAGUCUGUGCCCCAGUGGUCUUCCCAGCCUGGUGGCCUGGGGGCCUACUCAGUGUCCAAGGAACGUGGUCAUUCAGUCCUGCAGAGGGUGGGGCUGUGGGGAAAGGAAGCUGCAGGUAAGGAAGGUGUCCCCCCCACCACACGGGGACUCUAGGGCUUGCUCACCAGCUGCCUUCACCCUCCCUUAGGCUUAGCGACCUGUGAGGCAAACAGCCCGGAGGGAUGCAGCCUGCCCAGCUGCUGGAGGGAAGGAGAGCACGCUUUGCUGAGAAAAUGGAAAGAUCUCAAGCCCUUCUAUGUGCUAAGUACACUGGUAAGUCUAGAAUAGAAGCCUGUCUCCCUUGCCUGCAAGCAGGUGCCUUUCAUGUCCAAAUCUCGUGUCCCAAGUAGACACAACACUCAGCAAAUGGGAUGCGAGGGCUCCUCAGUUCCCUGUAGGCUCGCGGUGCUGAGCAUCGCCCUGUCUCCGCCAUGAAGUUCCCAGCAGGGUCCCCACUGGCUCCGGACCCUGGGAUCUCACUGGGGAUCACUGCGUUCAGUUUAUUUGCAUCUCCAGUGCCUUGCACAUAGUAGGUACUCGGGCAUGGUUGAUGGAAUAGUGCUGAUGCAUGUAGGUGAUUCCCAAUAAUGCCAUUUUGAUGGAGUUUUGUAUUUACGCAUCUGAUAGAAGGAGAGACAAAAGAGGUGCAUAUUUUCCUUCUCAAGCUGGGGCACCAGGCUGUUGGGGUACAGGUGGAUUAGAGGCUGGGCCAGCUGAGUAGCCACAGAGGCUGCUAGAAUCCCUAGGAUCCUAACUGAGGUUGGUGUGAGGAGACCUUCCUUCAAAGAACAAUUGAUUGUUGCAGACUGCCUCCACAGGUGGGGGUGUCAGUGAACUGGGCGGAUGCUGAGUAGGGCAUGCAAGUGUGGGCCAGAACCGAAUUGCUCCAGAGGAUGAAACUUAGGGUCCCCUCUGCAUUGCUUCUUGGCUUGGAAGCCAGUAGAACUUCUAGCCUGCUUCCCAAGAUGGUCCUGUCUGGAAUGGGCAGUGACGUGCCUGGGGUUUUGUGCAGCCAUAGCCUGAACGUGGCAUGUCUCUCCAAGCUUGUAGAAGCCCUUUUUAGACAAGACAAGUAUCAGUAUAUUAUGGAAAAGAAU